Molecule: transfer RNA, 66 nt
Filed under: Pseudoips prasinana
Lineage: Eukaryota; Metazoa; Arthropoda; Insecta; Lepidoptera; Nolidae
Description: tRNA-Glu
Source: RNAcentral
AUUUAUAUAGUUUAUCUAAAACAUUACAUUUUCAUUGUAAAAAUAAAAAAAUAUUUUUUAUAAAUA